GCUAUGCCAAGGCUGCCUCGUCUUGAGGACAGUGUUGUGUGUGUCCCCAUUUGCUCUUAUAAUACUGGCCCGAAUAUAGUGGUAUUCUGAUGUCCUAGAAAGUCAAGAAGUCACAUAUCGUGUGACCUAUAAUAUAUCUCAUAUAAAAUUCCCAUAAAGAGAGAAAUUUGAGUUACCAGAGGUCAUGGCAGGCAGAAAAAAGCGUUUGGGAUGUGGUUGAGAGAAGGAAACCACUGUGUAUGAGACUGUGUUUGAUGGAGAAGCCAUUGAUCCAGUCUCUGGAAAUGUAUAUGCAUACAACAGCAGAACAGGUGCAAGAAAAUGGAAGACACUUGGAAACCAGGAAGAGUCCUUUGGGCGCAUAUACUUCCUCUCAGAAGCCAGUCCCUUGGAGGAGUCAAAACCCUUGAAAACUCCCCUGCAAUAAUAGUUCUCUGAGUGAUGGCAUUUUUGUGGGUGUUACUGGCAUGUAUAACUAAAUUUAAGCUGUAGACCUGAGUUCAGCUGCUGGGUGGAUAUUAUGUUCAUAUUCUUAUUCUAGCUGUUCUAGAAUCAGCUAGUUCUGGUGGAGGGCAAUAAGAGAUACCAUUUUUAAGUCUAUGGCUAUGUUUUGCUGAAAGUAGAAACUAAAUCUGUAUACAUCC
Molecule: long non-coding RNA, 644 nt
Organism: Mastomys coucha (southern multimammate mouse)
Lineage: Eukaryota; Metazoa; Chordata; Mammalia; Rodentia; Muridae
Exons: 3
Source: RefSeq, a predicted model, not a curated record